GACGAACGCUGGCGGCGUGCCUAACACAUGCAAGUCGAACGGAGACAAUAGCAAUAUUGUCUUAGUGGCGGACGGGUGAGUAACGCGUGAGCAAUCUGCCCUUCGGAGGGGGACAACAGCUGGAAACGGCUGCUAAUACCGCAUAACGUAUAUUGAAGGCAUCUUCGAUAUACCAAAGAUUCAUCGCCGAAGGAUGAGCUCGCGUCUGAUUAGCUAGUUGGUGAGGUAAUGGCUCACCAAGGCUUCGAUCAGUAGCCGGACUGAGAGGUUGAACGGCCACAUUGGGACUGAGAUACGGCCCAGACUCCUACGGGUGGCUG
RNAcentral lists this ribosomal RNA (320 nucleotides) under uncultured Bacillota bacterium. Its description in RNAcentral is "bacterial SSU rRNA". It matches the Rfam family "Bacterial small subunit ribosomal RNA", at positions 28 to 351 of the family's 1533-position model. The record is from RNAcentral. Lineage: Bacteria; Bacillati; Bacillota.